UACGUAGGGUGCGAGCGUUAAUCGGAAUUACUGGGCGUAAAGCGUGCGCAGGCGGUUUUGUAAGCCAGAUGUGAAAUCCCCGGGCUUAACCUGGGAAUGGCAUUUGGGACUGCAAGGCUCGAGUGCGGCAGAGGAGACUGGAAUUCCUGGUGUAGCAGUGAAAUGCGUAGAGAUCAUGAGGAAGACCAGUGGCGAAGGCGGGUCUCUGGACAGUUCCUGACACUGAGGCACGAAGGCCAGGGGAGCAAACGGG
RNAcentral lists this ribosomal RNA (253 nucleotides) under uncultured bacterium. RNAcentral's name for it is "partial 16S ribosomal RNA". It matches the Rfam family "Bacterial small subunit ribosomal RNA", at positions 524 to 776 of the family's 1533-position model. The record is from RNAcentral.